This 606-nucleotide long non-coding RNA is filed under the name Hordeum vulgare. RNAcentral's name for it is "long non-coding RNA (HVUL_LNC015217)". The record is from RNAcentral. Lineage: Eukaryota; Viridiplantae; Streptophyta; Magnoliopsida; Poales; Poaceae.
AAAGACCCGCUGUCCUCUCCCACACCGCUGCAGACACCUGCUACUCCCGCAACCCCUCCAACGCGGCAACCGCUCACGCGCUCACGGGUCACGGCGACCCGCGACGUGCUGCUCGUCAAAGCUAGUCACCACGCGGUCCAAGGAGCCUGGCUGUCGCCGUGAAGGAGGCGACUAGGCCUAUUCUGCUCAAACCCUGAAGGUGUUUGCGAAAUUGACUUUGUUUGCACUUUGCAGAGUAUGCCGUGUCGGACACUUAUUUGCAGAAUGCAUAACACCAUCGCAGACAAAAGUCAGUGCCAAGCUCAAGAAUAAAUGGAAAUAAUUGUAUUAAUCGUGCGCACACGCGGAAAUGACAGAUUGCCAUACAUAGAUGCAUGCAUACGAGCAUAGUACACCUAGCUACAUUCUGAAAACAGCUUCCAAGCUUCUUGCUGAUCAGCAUAGUCCACCUAGCUACACACUGAAGAUACUCUACCGACCUAGCGUAGUCGAGCUAGCUGCAUACUGGAAACGGCUUCGAUCUUGCUGAUCAAUGAGCAUCGGGGCCACAAAUCUAGCUAACACUUUAGUGGCCUUGUGCUUGCUUAUAGAGGAAGGUUGGNNNNN